Molecule: long non-coding RNA, 1097 nt
Filed under: Apteryx haastii (Great spotted kiwi)
Lineage: Eukaryota; Metazoa; Chordata; Aves; Apterygiformes; Apterygidae
Description: lncRNA (ENSAHAG00000013641.1)
Source: RNAcentral
UAAGCACUCGCAUUCCACGGCCCGGCUCCACGCCAGCGAGCCAGGCGUCUUACCUAUUGAAAGUUUGAGAAUAGGUUGAGAUCGUUUUGGCCCCAAGACCUCUAAUCAUUCGCUUUACCGGGUAAAACUGUCGCCCGCGAGUGCCAGCUCUCCUGAGGGAAACUUCGGAGGGAACCAGCUACUAGAUGGUUUGAUUAGUCUUUCGCCCCUAUACCUGGGUUGGACGACCGAUUUGCACAUCACGACCAAUACCAACCUCCACCAGAGUUUCCUCUGGCUUCGCCCUGCCCAGGCAGAGUUCACCAUCUUUCAGGUCCUAGCACGGACGCUCAUGCUCCACCUCCCCGACGGAGCGGGCGAGACAGGCCGGUGGUGCGCCCUCAGCUCUGCCUCCGCCUCGGGAUCCCACCUCAGCCGGCGCGCACCGGCCCUCACCUUCAUUGCGCCACAGGAUUUCAAGCGAGCCGCUGACUCGCACACAUGCUAGACUCCUUGGUCCGUGUUUCAAGACGGGUCAGGUGGGUAGCCGACAUCGCCGCGGACCCCAGGCGCCUGAGCGCAGCCGCACCCUGCCCGGCGGCGCGACGAGGUCGGGGCGCACUGAGGACAGUCCGCCCCGGUUGACAGUCACGCCGGGGGCUGGGGGGCCCGUCCCCCGGACGAGGGCCCCCCUCGCCGCUGCCGCCGAGCGACACGCGCCGCCCCCCGCCCCCGCAAGCGGGGGUGGGGAGAAAAGCGGCAGCGGCACCACCGACAGGGUCCGGGACGCUGCCACAGGGGAAGGCGCGGCGGCAGUCCUCUCCCUUGGCUCUGGGAUUCAGCGAGAGCUGCUGCCCGGGGGCUGUAACACUCGCUGCCGCGUGGUGGCGAGCGACCUGCCCAUCAGGCUUUCCCAGCUGACCUGGAGCCGGUCGUGGCGCACUGCCACGGGGGAAAUGUGCCCGACAGGGGCCGGCUGCCGGCCGGGCGGUGGCCCCCAGCCCACCCCUGCGAGGGGGGUGGAGGGGAGGCGGCAGCGGGGAUCCGCUGAGACCCGAGCAGGCCAACCGAGCCCGCCGGGUUGAAUCCUCCGGGCAGACUGUGUGGACGCCACCCGU